This 589-nucleotide ribosomal RNA is filed under the name Enterobacter sp. VF7(2010). RNAcentral's name for it is "bacterial SSU rRNA". It matches the Rfam family "Bacterial small subunit ribosomal RNA", at positions 50 to 628 of the family's 1533-position model. The record is from RNAcentral. Lineage: Bacteria; Pseudomonadati; Pseudomonadota; Gammaproteobacteria; Enterobacterales; Enterobacteriaceae.
UAUACAUGCAAGUCGAACGGUAACAGGAAGCAGCUUGCUGCUUUGCUGACGAGUGGCGGACGGGUGAGUAAUGUCUGGGAAACUGCCUGAUGGAGGGGGAUAACUACUGGAAACGGUAGCUAAUACCGCAUAACGUCGCAAGACCAAAGAGGGGGACCUUCGGGCCUCUUGCCAUCGGAUGUGCCCAGAUGGGAUUAGCUAGUAGGUGGGGUAACGGCUCACCUAGGCGACGAUCCCUAGCUGGUCUGAGAGGAUGACCAGCCACACUGGAACUGAGACACGGUCCAGACUCCUACGGGAGGCAGCAGUGGGGAAUAUUGCACAAUGGGCGCAAGCCUGAUGCAGCCAUGCCGCGUGUAUGAAGAAGGCCUUCGGGUUGUAAAGUACUUUCAGCGGGGAGGAAGGCGAUAAGGUUAAUAACCUUGUCGAUUGACGUUACCCGCAGAAGAAGCACCGGCUAACUCCGUGCCAGCAGCCGCGGUAAUACGGAGGGUGCAAGCGUUAAUCGGAAUUACUGGGCGUAAAGCGCACGCAGGCGGUCUGUCAAGUCGGAUGUGAAAUCCCCGGGCUCAACCUGGGAACUGCAUUC